UACGUAGGGGGCGAGCGUUGUCCGGAAUUACUGGGCGUAAAGGGCGUGUAGGCGGCUACCCAAGUCUCUUGUGAAAUCCCGGGGCUCAACUUCGGGCGUGCAGGGGAAACUGGUAGGCUUGAGUGCAGAAGAGGGAAGCGGAAUUCCCAGUGUAGCGGUGAAAUGCGUAGAUAUUGGGAAGAACACCAGUGGCGAAGGCGGCUUUCUGGUCUGCAACUGACGCUGAGGCGCGAAAGCUAGGGGAGCGAAC
RNAcentral lists this ribosomal RNA (250 nucleotides) under uncultured bacterium. RNAcentral's name for it is "partial 16S ribosomal RNA". It matches the Rfam family "Bacterial small subunit ribosomal RNA", at positions 524 to 773 of the family's 1533-position model. The record is from RNAcentral.